Molecule: microRNA, 20 nt
Filed under: Oryza sativa (Asian cultivated rice)
Lineage: Eukaryota; Viridiplantae; Streptophyta; Magnoliopsida; Poales; Poaceae
Description: osa-miR2922
Source: miRBase by way of RNAcentral
AAUAAGUGAUUACCGAAAUU